UUCGACGCUACGCGAGACUUACUGGCUUGAACUGCUGGUGGUAGAAGCCCGAAAGGGUAACGACCCGGAGCAAUCCGGGAGCCAGUAGAGGUGCUGCAUGGCUGUCGUCAGCUCGUGUCGUGAGAUGUUGGGUUAAGUCCCGCAACGAGCGCAACCUUACCCUUAGUUGCCAGCGGGUAAUGCCGGGCACUCGUAAGGGGACCGCCCCGGAUAACGGGGAGGAAGGCGGGAUGACGUCAAGUCAGCAUGGCCCUUAUGUCCAGGGCUACACACGUGCUACAAUGGGCGAUACAGAGGGAAGCAAGGCCGCAAGGUAGAGCUAAUCCCUAAAAGUCGUCCUCAGUUCGGAUUGCAGGCUGCAACUCGCCUGCAUGAAGUCGGAAUCGCUAGUAAUCGCGGAUCAGCACGCCGCGGUGAAUACGUUCCCGGGCCUU
This 434-nucleotide ribosomal RNA is filed under the name uncultured Aminicenantes bacterium. Its description in RNAcentral is "bacterial SSU rRNA". It matches the Rfam family "Bacterial small subunit ribosomal RNA", at positions 950 to 1382 of the family's 1533-position model. Lineage: Bacteria; Candidatus Aminicenantota. The record is from RNAcentral.